Molecule: ribosomal RNA, 422 nt
Filed under: Paenibacillus sp. Lgg20.3
Lineage: Bacteria; Bacillati; Bacillota; Bacilli; Caryophanales; Paenibacillaceae
Description: bacterial SSU rRNA
Rfam family: Bacterial small subunit ribosomal RNA
Source: RNAcentral
CAGGCCUAACACAUGCAAGUCGAGCGGGGUUAAUUAGAAGCUUGCUUCUAAUCAACCUAGCGGCGGACGGGUGAGUAACACGUAGGCAACCUGCCCACAAGACAGGGAUAACUACCGGAAACGGUAGCUAAUACCCGAUACAUCCUUUUCCUGCAUGGGAGAAGGAGGAAAGACGGAGCAAUCUGUCACUUGUGGAUGGGCCUGCGGCGCAUUAGCUAGUUGGUGGGGUAAAGGCCUACCAAGGCGACGAUGCGUAGCCGACCUGAGAGGGUGAUCGGCCACACUGGGACUGAGACACGGCCCAGACUCCUACGGGAGGCAGCAGUAGGGAAUCUUCCGCAAUGGGCGAAAGCCUGACGGAGCAACGCCGCGUGAGUGAUGAAGGUUUUCGGAUCGUAAAGCUCUGUUGCCAGGGAAGAACG